GGGUUGAGCAGAAUAGAUUGGUGGUUGCUGCUCAAGUUCGUGAAACUCUUGUUGAGUGUGGUUUGGAUGAAGAAACGCUGUCGUUUUUUGAAUCUGGGGGUGCUGAAUUGUUGUAUGAAAUUCGGUUGCUUAGUGGUAAGCAACGAACGGAUGCUGCUAGUUUUAUAGUGAGGAAUGGGUUUGAUAUGAAGCAAGCGCAGGAUUUAGCUAGGUCAAUGAAGGAUUUCCCGCGAAGACGAAUCGAUUAUGGUUGGGACAAGUUUACUGGUGAUUCUCCUGGUGAUUGUUUGGCUUUUUGGUUCUUUAGGCUAGCUCAAGAACAUGCUGCUGCAGCUGCUGAGGAUUCGAGGGUUGAGGCAAUGGAGAAGGCACUUGAAGUUGUGGAGACUGAAAGUGCUAGAAAUGUGCUUGUAGAGGUGUUAGAAGGAAAAGGGGUUGAUAAAGAGAGUGUAAUUGAUGAGCAGGUGAAAGUGCCUUUGGUGAGGAUGAAGCUAGGGGAGGUAGCAGAGUCGACGAAAGUAGUGGUUUUGCCUGUUUGCAAGGCGGAGAAGAGGGAGUUUGAGGUGGAGGCAGCGCCAUGGGAAUGUGGUGGUGUGGGGGAGUUUGGUGUAGUGGAGGCAGAGAAGGAUUGGAGGAGAUGGGUAGUUUUGCCUGGAUGGCAACCAAUUGCAGGAUUAGAGAGAGGUGGAGUUGCAGUAUCGUUCAAGAAUGGGAAGCUUUUGCCAUGGAAGGAGAAGAGGAAGUACAAGGAAGAGCCAGUUUUGGUAGUGGCUGAUAGAGGAAGGAAGGAAGUGGUUGUGGAUGAUGGGUUUUACUUGGUGCUUAGUGGUGGCAAUGGGAGCGGUGACGAGGGAUUGAAAGUGGAAAGAGGGUUGAACUUGAAGGAAAUGGGAGUCGAAAUGAGCUUGGGAAUGGUGCUUUUGGUAGUUAGGCCACCAAGAUGGGAAGAUGAAGAUCAACAAAUUGAUGAAGAUUAGGAUGCUGUAAAAAUGCAGCCUUUCUGUAUGCUAUCAAUGGCAAAAAUUUUGAGUAUCACAGUAAGAUAUACAAUGUUGUAUUAACAUUUUUGCAUUAGAAGAAACAGAAUGUACAAAUUCAGGAUUCACUUGUAUUGUUGUGAAGUGAAACUUGAU
RNAcentral lists this unclassified non-coding RNA (1133 nucleotides) under Hevea brasiliensis (rubber tree). Lineage: Eukaryota; Viridiplantae; Streptophyta; Magnoliopsida; Malpighiales; Euphorbiaceae. The record is from RNAcentral.